UGGUGAGGUAAAGGCUUACCAAGGCGUCGAUCAGUAGCUGGUCUGAGAGGACGACCAGCCACACUGGGACUGAGACACGGCCCAGACUCCUACGGGAGGCAGCAGUGGGGAAUUUUGGACAAUGGGGGAAACCCUGAUCCAGCCAUGCCGCGUGAGUGAAGAAGGCCUUCGGGUUGUAAAGCUCUUUCAGCCGGAACGAAACGGUCACAGCUAAUACCUGUGACUACUGACGGUACCGGAAGAAGAAGCACCGGCUAACUACGUGCCAGCAGCCGCGGUAAUACGUAGGGUGCGAGCGUUAAUCGGAAUUACUGGGCGUAAAGCGUGCGCAGGCGGUUUUGUAAGUCAGAUGUGAAAUCCCCGGGCUUAACCUGGGAACUGCGUUUGAAACUAC
This 394-nucleotide ribosomal RNA is filed under the name uncultured Nitrosospira sp. RNAcentral describes it as "bacterial SSU rRNA". It matches the Rfam family "Bacterial small subunit ribosomal RNA", at positions 250 to 636 of the family's 1533-position model. Lineage: Bacteria; Pseudomonadati; Pseudomonadota; Betaproteobacteria; Nitrosomonadales; Nitrosomonadaceae. The record is from RNAcentral.